GCAGAUGUGGCGGAACUGGUAGACGCACAGGACUUAAAAUCCUGCGGUUGAAUAAACCGUGCCGGUUCGAUUCCGGCCAUCUGCACCA
This 88-nucleotide transfer RNA is filed under the name Clostridium sp. Its description in RNAcentral is "tRNA-Leu". It matches the Rfam family "tRNA". Rfam says of the family: Transfer RNA (tRNA) molecules are approximately 80 nucleotides in length. Their secondary structure includes four short double-helical elements and three loops (D, anti-codon, and T loops). The record is from RNAcentral. RNAcentral also lists the same sequence under 18 other names. Lineage: Bacteria; Bacillati; Bacillota; Clostridia; Eubacteriales; Clostridiaceae.